UACAGAGGGGGCAAGCGUUGUUCGGAAUUACUGGGCGUAAAGGGCGCGUAGGCGGCCUGUUAAGUCGAACGUGAAAUCCCCGGGCUCAACCCGGGAACUGCGUCCGAUACUGGCAGGCUUGAAUUCGGGAGAGGGGUGCAGAAUUCCAGGUGUAGCGGUGAAAUGCGUAGAUAUCUGGAGGAAUACCGGUGGCGAAGGCGGCAUCCUGGACCGACAUUGACGCUGAAGAGCGAAAGCUAGGGGAGCAAACGGG
Molecule: ribosomal RNA, 253 nt
Filed under: uncultured bacterium
Lineage: Bacteria
Description: partial 16S ribosomal RNA
Rfam family: Bacterial small subunit ribosomal RNA
Source: RNAcentral